CGGAGGAAAAGAAACCAACAGGGAUUGCCUUAGUAGCGGCGAGUGAAGCGGCAAGAGCUCAAAUUUGAAAUCUGGUGCCUUUGGUGCCCGAGUUGUAAUUUGAAGAAAGCUAUCUUGGAUUUGGCCUUUGUCUAUGUUCCUUGGAACAGGACGUCACAGAGGGUGAGAAUCCCGUGCGAUGAGGUGUCCAUUUCUAUGUAAGAUGUUUUCGAAGAGUCGAGUUGUUUGGGAAUGCAGCUCUAAGUGGGUGGUAAAUUCCAUCUAAAGCUAAAUAUUGGCGAGAGACCGAUAGCGAACAAGUACAGUGAUGGAAAGAUGAAAAGAACUUUGAAAAGAGAGUGAAAAAGUACGUGAAAUUGUUGAAAGGGAAGGGUAUUAGAUCAGACUUGGUAUUUAGUUAUCAUUGCUCCUUGUGGGUGGUGCUCUAGCUUUCUACUGGGCCAGCAUCAGUUUUGGUGGCAAGAUAAUGACAAUUUGAACGUGGCUCUUCGGAGUGUUAUAGCUUUUGUUGAUGUUGCC
Molecule: ribosomal RNA, 519 nt
Filed under: Ogataea methanolica
Lineage: Eukaryota; Fungi; Ascomycota; Pichiomycetes; Pichiales; Pichiaceae
Description: LSU rRNA
Rfam family: Eukaryotic large subunit ribosomal RNA
Source: RNAcentral